AGAGUUUGAUCAUGGCUCAGGAUGAACGUUGGCGGUGUGCCUAAUACAUGCAAGUCGAACGGAGUUAAUAGCAAUAUUGACUUAGUGGCGAACGGGUGAGUAACGCGUUGGUGAUCUGCCUCGAAGUGUGGAAUAACGUUCCGAAAGGAUCGCUAAUACCGCAUGUGCUCUCGAUUUUUAGAAAGUUGAGAGUAAAGGAUUUAUUCGCUUCGAGAGGAGCCUGCGUCCCAUCAGCUGGUUGGUAGGGUAACGGCCUACCAAGGCUAUGACGGGUAGGGGACCUGAGAGGGUGGCCCCCCACAAUGGAACUGAAACACGGUCCAUACACCUACGGGUGGCAGCAGUAGGGAAUAUUAGAAAUGGACGAAAGUCUGAUCUAGCAACACCGCGUGUGCGAAGAAGGCCUUCGGGUCGUAAAGCACUUUUUGGAAGGAAUAGGAAGGAAUGUACUUCCAGAAUAAGUCUCGGCUAACUACGUGCCAGCAGCCGCGGUAACACGUAGGAGGCAAACGUUAUCCGGAUUUACUGGGCGUAAAGCGCGUGUAGGUGGUACUGUAAGUAGGGCGUGAAAGCUCCUGGCUCAACUAGGAGAGGCCGUUCUAAACUACAGAACUAGAGGAUGGUAGAGGGAGGUGGAAUUCCAGGUGUAGCGGUGGAAUGCGCAGAUAUCUGGAGGAACACCGGUGGCGAAGGCGGCCUCCUGGACCAUUCCUGACACUCAGACGCGAAAGCUAGGGUAGCAAACGGGAUUAGAGACCCCGGUAGUCCUAGCCCUAAACGAUGUAGACUAGGCGUCGGAAGUUUAAUCACUUUCGGUGUCCAAGCUAACGCGAUAAGUCUACCGCCUGGGGACUACGGCCGCAAGGUUAAAACUCAAAGGAAUUGACGG
Molecule: ribosomal RNA, 889 nt
Filed under: Chloroflexi bacterium enrichment culture clone B312117
Lineage: Bacteria; Bacillati; Chloroflexota
Description: bacterial SSU rRNA
Rfam family: Bacterial small subunit ribosomal RNA
Source: RNAcentral